GAUGAACGCUAGCGGCGUGCCUAAUACAUGCAAGUCGAGCGAACAGACGAGGAGCUUGCUCCUCUGACGUUAGCGGCGGACGGGUGAGUAACACGUGGAUAACCUACCUAUAAGACUGGGAUAACUUCGGGAAACCGGAGCUAAUACCGGAUAAUAUAUUGAACCGCAUGGUUCAAUAGUGAAAGACGGUUUUGCUGUCACUUAUAGAUGGAUCCGCGCCGCAUUAGCUAGUUGGUAAGGUAACGGCUUACCAAGGCGACGAUGCGUAGCCGACCUGAGAGGGUGAUCGGCCACACUGGAACUGAGACACGGUCCAGACUCCUACGGGAGGCAGCAGUAGGGAAUCUUUCGCAAAGGGCGAAAGCCUGACGGAGCAACGCCGCGUGAGUGAUGAAGGUCUUCGGAUCGUAAAACUCUGUUAUUAGGGAAGAACAAAUGUGUAAGUAACUAUGCACGUCUUGACGGUACCUAAUCAGAAAGCCACGGCUAACUACGUG
RNAcentral lists this ribosomal RNA (497 nucleotides) under uncultured bacterium. RNAcentral describes it as "partial 16S ribosomal RNA". It matches the Rfam family "Bacterial small subunit ribosomal RNA", at positions 28 to 507 of the family's 1533-position model. The record is from RNAcentral.